AUAGCGAGGACGCUGACAGGAUUACGACUUAAGGACAAGGGUCAGGAACGCCAGGAGGCGAAGACUCAGGAUUGUCAGGAUGAUAGCGCCAGGAGGCGUUUAAAAGGGAAAAGGAACCGUAUCAGGGACGGUAGCAGCCAAAGGAUAGCCAGGGUCGGUUGUAGGCAAACAAGGACGAUAAGACCCGUUCAGGGUUAUGAGUCAGGAAAAAAGGCGACAGAUUGCUCUGUCGCCUUUUUUCUUUGCUUGCUU
This 252-nucleotide small RNA is filed under the name uncultured Enterobacter sp. Lineage: Bacteria; Pseudomonadati; Pseudomonadota; Gammaproteobacteria; Enterobacterales; Enterobacteriaceae. The record is from RNAcentral.